GUGCUUCCUUCAGCAGCACAUACACUAAAGCUGGAAUGACAGGUAAGAUUAGCAAGGUCCCUGUGCAAGGAUGACAUGCAAAUUCAUGAAGCAUUCCAUAUUUUU
This is a small nuclear RNA of Hyaena hyaena (striped hyena), 105 nucleotides long. Lineage: Eukaryota; Metazoa; Chordata; Mammalia; Carnivora; Hyaenidae. The record is from RefSeq and is a predicted model, not a curated record.